UACGAGAGGCCCAAACGUUAUUCGGAUUUACUGGGCUUAAAGAGUUCGUAGGCGGCGCAGAAAGUAGGGUGUGAAAGCCCACGGCUCAACCGUGGAAGCGCAUCCAAAACUGCGUCGCUCGAGUCUCGGAGAGGAAGGUGGAAUGCUUGGUGUAGAGGUGAAAUUCGUAGAUAUCAGGAGGAACACCAGUGGCGAAGGCGGCUUUCUGGACGGUAACUGACGCUGAGACGCGAAAGCGUGGGGAGCAAACAGG
Molecule: ribosomal RNA, 253 nt
Filed under: uncultured bacterium
Lineage: Bacteria
Description: partial 16S ribosomal RNA
Rfam family: Bacterial small subunit ribosomal RNA
Source: RNAcentral